Molecule: ribosomal RNA, 497 nt
Filed under: uncultured bacterium
Lineage: Bacteria
Description: partial 16S ribosomal RNA
Rfam family: Bacterial small subunit ribosomal RNA
Source: RNAcentral
GAUGAACGCUGGCGGCGUGCCUAAUACAUGCAAGUCGAGCGAACGGACGAGAAGCUUGCUUUUCUGAUGUUAGCGGCGGACGGGUGAGUAACACGUGGAUAACCUACCUAUAAGACUGGUAUAACUUCGGGAAACCGGAGCUAAUACCGGAUAAUAUUUUGAACCGCAUGGUUCAAAAGUGAAAGACGGUCUUGCGGUCACUUAUAGAUGGAUCCGCGCUGCAUUAGCUAGUUGGUAAGGUAACGGCUUACCAAGGCAACGAUGCGUAGCCGAACUGAGAGGGUGAUCGGCCACACGGGAACUGAGACACGGUCCAGACUCCUACGGGAGGCAGCAGUAGGGAAUCUUCCGCAAUGGGCGAAAGCCUGACGGAGCAACGGCGCGUGAGUGAUGAAGGUCUUCGGAUCGUAAAACUCUGUUAUUAGGGAAGAACAUAUGUGUAAUUAACUGUGCACAUCUUGACGGUACCGAAUCAGAAAGCAACGGCUAACUACGUG